RNAcentral lists this microRNA precursor (124 nucleotides) under Hordeum vulgare. RNAcentral's name for it is "microRNA MIR1122". It matches the Rfam family "MIR1120/MIR1122 microRNA precursor family". The record is from RNAcentral. Lineage: Eukaryota; Viridiplantae; Streptophyta; Magnoliopsida; Poales; Poaceae.
UAUAUACUCCCUCCGUCCGAAAAUACUUGUCGUAGGGAUGAAUGUAUCUAUAUGUAUUUGAGUUCAAGAUAAUCCAUUGGUAUCCAUUUUUAUGACAAGUAAUUCCGGACGGAGGUAGUAUAUA